RNAcentral lists this ribosomal RNA (468 nucleotides) under uncultured bacterium. RNAcentral describes it as "partial 16S ribosomal RNA". It matches the Rfam family "Bacterial small subunit ribosomal RNA", at positions 28 to 507 of the family's 1533-position model. The record is from RNAcentral.
GACGAACGCUGGCGGCGUGCUUAACACAUGCAAGUCGAACGGACAGGCCCUGCUUUUGUUGGUUUCUCGAUUGGCGAACGGGUGUGUAUCACGUGAGUAUCCUGCCCUUGUCUUUGGGAUAACUUUUGGAAACUCGGGCUAUUACCGGAUAGGAGCUCCUGCUGCAUGGUGUUGGUUAGAAAGUUUCGGCGGUUGUGGAUGUUCUCGCUGCUUAUCCGCUUGUUGGUGUGGUAGUGGCUUACCAAGGCUUUGACGGGUAGCCUGCCUGAGAGGGUGACCGGCCACAUGGGGACUGAGAUACGGACCAGAAGGCUACGGGAGGCAGCAGUGGGGAAUAUUACAGAAUGGGCGGAAGCGUGAGACAGAAACGCCGCGUGCGGGAUGACGGCCUUCGAGUUGUAAACAGAUGUCGAAGGAGACGAAGAGUGAGUGACGGUAAUGGGUAAAGAAGCAACGGCUAACUACGUG